Neopsephotus bourkii (Bourke's parrot) is the source of this 641-nucleotide long non-coding RNA. RefSeq lists it as uncharacterized. The transcript is spliced from 3 exons. The record is from RefSeq and is a predicted model, not a curated record. Lineage: Eukaryota; Metazoa; Chordata; Aves; Psittaciformes; Psittacidae.
GGGUCCUGGGGCUUAGGGUGCAGAGGUCCCUGUGCAGUGGGAGCUGCUUGGUUGGGUGCCCCGUGCCCUUGGCCCUGCCCUGGCUCCGUCUGGCCACCAGGCUCCGGGCUGGCCCUGGGGCCCCUUCCUCUGCUUCCCCCCAGCCCAUGGGACCUGAGCUCUGGCGCUGCCUCCACUUCCCCUGGCAGGGAAACAGUGACUCUGCCUGGAAGGAAUUUUCCUGCUGUCUCCCCUCCCUGCAGCUUAACCCUUCCCCAGCUGGCCAGGGGCCACGGCCGGCUCCUGGGGUCAAGGAGCUGGACACCCUGCUGCUUCCUCUUCUUUGCCAGCCCCCCUCCUCCUCCUCCUCCUCCUGUGGCUGCCGGAGCAGCGCCGUGGAGGGAGCGGCACCAGCUGAGCCCAAUCCUGGCCCUGUUCCCAGGCAGUGCUGGGUCACUGCACCCCACAGACCCACCUGCACCCCACGGAGCCCGUAGGCUGCCCUCAAGGACUGGGACGUCUGUGAUCCACCACUGCCGGGCCAGGAGGGUCCCUGGGAGCCCCAGCCCGUGCCCGCUCCCGCGCUGCCCAUCCCUGAUGGUGCAAUCCCGAGGUGCCGGCGAUCCCCCCGCCGCAGCGGUGAGGGCUGUUAGUGCUGCUGC